Vicia villosa (hairy vetch) is the source of this 106-nucleotide small nucleolar RNA. NCBI's taxonomy places the organism in Eukaryota, Viridiplantae, Streptophyta, Magnoliopsida, Fabales, Fabaceae. The record is from RefSeq and is a predicted model, not a curated record.
AGCCCAUGGAAUGGGCACAACCUCAAUAAGUCCUUUUAACUCUCUCAUGCGUCAAACAAAGAUUCCCCCUCUUCUUGUCUAAAAAUGUUAAUAUCACCCCUAAGUU